ACACAAAUUUAGAACAUCCGUAAAAGAAAAAGAAGAGUCAUGUCAUCUUAUUCUGAAGCUUCUCCCUCUGAAUUUAUUGGUUAAGUAUUUACACCCACUUUUCCUUUAGAGCAUUUAACGAUCGAUUUGCCCUACCCAUCCCUCUCGCUUCUCAUGGUCAGUAGCUUGAUCCCUCAUGCUGCUUGUCUGGGCCUCCGUAUCAACCAUCCACUUCUCGGCUAGACAAUCUUCCCCAACUGUAGUCUCUGAGAUGGAGUCUUUGCCAUCACCUCUUUAGCCACUGCCUCUUCCAGGAGAAGGUUCUAAUGCAUCUCUUGUGUUGAACUGAGCUGGGAAAUGGAGGUUCAAGCUCGCACCAGCAGUACUGUGUGCGAGCCUUGGGUUCUUCUCUGAACAUAGCGUUGCCUCCUAGUAAGGCAAUCUUUUUCGACAGCGAUCUGGUGAACUUCCACAACUUGGGGUUGGGCUCACUGGCUGUCGAGGUUUCAUAACUUAUUUCUUAGGUUUGGAUGAUAUGGGACGAAAAGAGAGCUUUCAUCUUCUCAUCUCUCUGUCUCUCUGCCUCAGGGUUUACUCUAACUUCGACAUGCCUCCUAAUUGGCAGAAGGAGAGAAUGAAAAAAGGGUGGCCAAGUCAUGGAAAAAGGGAGCAAAGGAAACGAUGCAUGACUAACUCAAAAGUUCAGGAAGAAAUUAAGGCAUUGAAUGGGUGUUGGAACAAAG
RNAcentral lists this long non-coding RNA (722 nucleotides) under Phoenix dactylifera (date palm). RNAcentral's name for it is "long non-coding RNA (PDAC_LNC002077)". The record is from RNAcentral. Lineage: Eukaryota; Viridiplantae; Streptophyta; Magnoliopsida; Arecales; Arecaceae.